Molecule: small nucleolar RNA, 66 nt
Organism: Camelus dromedarius (Arabian camel)
Lineage: Eukaryota; Metazoa; Chordata; Mammalia; Artiodactyla; Camelidae
Gene: SNORD42
Rfam family: Small nucleolar RNA SNORD42
About the family: snoRNA U42 is found in intron 3 of the ribosomal protein L23a (RPL23a) gene in humans and is also present in mice. U42 is a member of the C/D class of snoRNA which contain C (UGAUGA) and D (CUGA) box motifs.
Source: Ensembl
GUGCAUAUGAUGUAAAAAUUUAAGCUCCUGAGACUGGUGAUGUCUUCAAAGGAACCACUGAUGCAC